This 748-nucleotide ribosomal RNA is filed under the name uncultured bacterium. Its description in RNAcentral is "bacterial SSU rRNA". It matches the Rfam family "Bacterial small subunit ribosomal RNA", at positions 61 to 794 of the family's 1533-position model. The record is from RNAcentral.
GUCGAACGGUAGCAGGCUUUCGGGCGCUGACGAGUGGCGGACGGUGAGUAACGCGUAGGAAUCUGCCCUGUAGUGGGGGACAACUUAGGGAAACUUAAGCUAAUACCGCAUACGCUCCCUGUCUUGACUGAUGGGGAGGAAAGCGGGGGACCUUCGGGCCUCGCGCUAUAGGAUGAGCCUGCGUUGGAUUAGCUAGUUGGUGGGGUAAAGGCCUACCAAGGCGACGAUCCAUAGCUGGUCUGAGAGGACGAUCAGCCACACUGGGACUGAGACACGGCCCAGACUCCUACGGGAGGCAGCAGUGGGGAAUAUUGGACAAUGGGCGGAAGCCUGAUCCAGCAAUACCGCGUGUGUGAAGAAGGCCUGAGGGUUGUAAAGCACUUUCAAUAGGAAGGAAUACCUACCCAUUAAUACUGGGUAGACUGACAUUACCUAUACAAGAAGCACCGGCUAACUCCGUGCCAGCAGCCGCGGUAAUACGGAGGGUGCGAGCGUUAAUCGGAAUUACUGGGCGUAAAGCGUGCGUAGGCGGUUGUUUAAGUCAGAUGUGAAAGCCCCGGGCUUAACCUGGGAACGGCAUUUGAUACUGGGCAACUAGAGUUUAAGAGAGGGGAGUGGAAUUUCAGGUGUAGCGGUGAAAUGCGUAGAGAUCUGAAGGAACACCAGUGGCGAAGGCGACUCCCUGGCUUAAGACUGACGCUGAGGUACGAAAGCGUGGGUAGCAAACAGGAUUAGAUACCCUGGUAGU